Tachysurus fulvidraco (yellow catfish) is the source of this 2418-nucleotide RNA transcript. It is a transcript of the gene named CUGBP Elav-like family member 6, with no coding region annotated. The record is from RefSeq and is a predicted model, not a curated record. The transcript has 14 exons. NCBI's taxonomy places the organism in Eukaryota, Metazoa, Chordata, Actinopteri, Siluriformes, Bagridae.
GAGAGAGAGAGAGAGAGAGAGAGAGAGAGAGAGAGAGAGAGAGAGAGAGAGAGAGAGAAAGAUGGCUACAGUGGCGGCGAGCGGAGUGCAGCAAGAGAAUGGCUUCAGCACCGCGAACAGCUCCAGCAGAAUGAACGGCAUUGCAAUCGGUCAGAGCCCCAUUCCCAUGAAGGACCACGACGCCAUCAAGCUGUUCGUGGGUCAAAUCCCACGCAACCUGGAAGAGAAAGACCUCAAGCCGCUCUUUGAGGAAUUCGGCAAGAUCUACGAACUCACCGUGCUCAAAGACAGAUUCACGGGAAUGCAUAAAGGAUGUGCCUUUCUAACUUACUGUGCCAGGGAGUCUGCACUGAAGGCCCAGAGUGCUCUCCAUGAGCAGAAGACUCUGCCUGGGAUGAACCGGCCCAUCCAGGUGAAGCCAGCAGACAGCGAAGGACGGGGAGAAGACCGGAAGCUCUUUGUGGGGAUGUUGGGGAAGCAGCAGAGCGAGGAGGACGUCCGCAGGCUCUUCGAGACGUUUGGCCAGAUUGAGGAGUGCACCGUGCUCCGGGGGCCUGAUGGGGCCAGUAAGGGCUGUGCCUUUGUCAAGUUUUCCAGCCAUGCAGAAGCGCAGGCAGCCAUCAAUAGCCUGCAUGGAGGCCAGACCAUGCCGGGUGCGUCCUCCAGCCUGGUAGUGAAGUUUGCCGACACGGAUAAAGAGCGAACCCUGCGCCGGAUGCACCAGAUGGCAGGACAGCUUGGCAUCUUCAGCCCCAUGACUAUCCAGUUCGGGGCCUACGGAGCCUACACACACGCUCAGAUGAUGCAGCAGCAGGCAGCAAUCAUGGCAGCCACACAGGGCUCCUAUCUCAACCCCAUGGCGGCCAUCGCAGCCGCUCAGAUGCAGCAAAUGGCAGCUUUCAAUGUCAACGGCCUGGUGGCUGCCCCGAUGACGCCCUCUUCAGGCACCAGCACACCUCCAGGCAUCAGUGCCACAGCAGUGCCCAGCAUCGCUGCUCCAAUCGGGGUUAAUGGCUUCAGCGCACUGCCUCCUCAAAGCAAUGGCCAGCCAGCCACUGAACCUAUUUACACCAAUGGAAUCCACCCCUAUCCAGCACAGAGUCCUACAGUGACCGACCCUCUCCAGCAAGCAUACGCCGGCGUGCAACACUAUGCAGCAGCCUAUCCUGCCGCCUAUGCGCCAAUCAGCCAAGCGUUUCCCCAGCAACCGACCAUCAUCCCCCAGCAACAGCGUGAAGGGCCUGAAGGCUGUAACCUGUUUAUCUACCACCUGCCGCAGGAGUUUGGGGACGCUGAGCUCAUGCAGAUGUUUCUGCCCUUUGGCAACGUCAUCUCUGCCAAAGUCUUCGUGGACCGGGCCACCAAUCAGAGCAAGUGUUUCGGCUUUGUCAGCUUUGAUAACCCAUCCAGUGCUCAGGCUGCCAUUCAGGCAAUGAAUGGUUUUCAGAUUGGCAUGAAGAGACUUAAGGUCCAGCUUAAGAGGCCAAAAGAUGCCAAUCGCCCUUAUUGAUUGCACCAACAUCCACAUCCAGCAUGGCAUGACCAAAGGUAGCUCGAGGUGGCCACCCUGUUGACUAGCUACAUGUCUACGGUCAGGGGGAAACAGUUCCCACGGCUGAAGAAGGAUGACAACACCUUAUUUUCACAAGUGCAGUAUAAGUACAAAAGACUUCUUCUCCGCUCUGCCACACGAAAGAAGAGUGGUCCCUUGAUUCUGUGGGAAAACCGUCAAGAGAUGUGAGACUAGAUGAAUGAAGAAACAAGGAGGGAUUUUCUUUUCCGUUUUUUUCUUGGCUAAAUAUUUCCUUUUUUUAUUUCCUCGCUUUGGCAUCGCAAAACCUGUGGAAGCCGAUUUUUGCAGAGACCAACUUUUUUGCUGCUGUUUUUUUAGACAAGAUGGAGAAAUAUUUAUAGAUACAUUAUGCUCAAAGCAUGCAUACACAGAUAUACAAUCACACAUGCAGUUAAAUACACGUAUCUAUCUCACACAAACGCGCGCACACAUGCAAAACUACACAAAUUUACAGACACAAACCCUUUGCACUUAGGCUGAUGCAUAAAUGCACUGCAGAAACUUCAUAUUUUGGAUACUGGUUAAUACUAAUAUGUCUAUUUGUAAAUCCAUAUGAUGCUCACACAUGCGCUCACACACACAGACAUGCAUACACACAGACACACACACACACACACACACACACACACACACACACACACACACACACACACACACACACACACACACACACCAGCCUGCUGCCAUUUUGGUUUUCGUGCCUAUACAGGUGUUGUAGUCUGUGCCAGGGAAAGCUCUGGAGAGAUGGAAAAGAAAAUGGUAAUCCAGGAUUAUUUACAUGCAUCAUUCCUUAGAAAAUAGGGACCAAAGGACUACAUGCUUUUUAAAAAUAUAUAAAUAUAUAA